This 339-nucleotide ribosomal RNA is filed under the name uncultured bacterium. RNAcentral's name for it is "bacterial LSU rRNA". It matches the Rfam family "Bacterial large subunit ribosomal RNA", at positions 115 to 469 of the family's 2925-position model. The record is from RNAcentral.
UGAAUGGGGCAACCCACUUAGUUGAAGACUAAGUAUCCGAAAGGAGGCAAACGCAGGGAACUGAAACAUCUAAGUACCUGUAGGAGAAGAAAAUAAUAAUGAUUCCCUAAGUAGCGGCGAGCGAACGGGGAGUAGCCCAAACCAAGAAUGUUUCGGCAUUUUUGGGGUUGUAGGACUGUGUUUUGGACUUAAGAUAGAUAGUAGAACUACUUGGAAAGGUAGGCCAUAGAAGGUGAUAGCCCUGUAAACGAAAUCGAUUUUAUACCUAACAGUAUCCUGAGUAGUGCGGGGCACGUGAAACCCUGUAUGAAUCUGCCGGGACGGAAAAGGUAAGGCAAA